UGGAGCAUGUGGUUAAUUUCGAAGCAACGCGAAGAACCUUACCAGGCCUUGACAUGCAGAGAACUUUCCAGAGAUGGAUUGGUGCCUUCGGGAACUCUGACACAGGUGCUGCAUGGCUGUCGUCAGCUCGUGCCGUGAGAUGUUGGGUUAAGUCCGUAACGAGCGCAACCCUUGUCCUUAGUUACCAGCACGUUAUGGUGGGCACUCUAAGGAGACUGCCGGUGACAAACCGGAGGAAGGUGGGGAUGACGUCAAGUCAUCAUGGCCCUUACGGCCUGGGCUACACACGUGCUACAAUGGUCGGUACAAAGGGUUGCCAAGCCGCGAGGUGGAGCUAAUCCCAUAAAACCGAUCGUAGUCCGGAUCGCAGUCUGCAACUCGACUGCGUGAAGUCGGAAUCGCUAGUAAUCGUGAAUCAGAAUGUCACGGUGAAUACGUUCCCGGGCCUU
RNAcentral lists this ribosomal RNA (449 nucleotides) under uncultured Pseudomonas sp. RNAcentral's name for it is "bacterial SSU rRNA". It matches the Rfam family "Bacterial small subunit ribosomal RNA", at positions 933 to 1382 of the family's 1533-position model. Lineage: Bacteria; Pseudomonadati; Pseudomonadota; Gammaproteobacteria; Pseudomonadales; Pseudomonadaceae. The record is from RNAcentral.